This 2900-nucleotide long non-coding RNA is filed under the name Medicago truncatula (barrel medic). RNAcentral's name for it is "lncRNA gene43057". The record is from RNAcentral. Lineage: Eukaryota; Viridiplantae; Streptophyta; Magnoliopsida; Fabales; Fabaceae.
AAAACAAACCCUCAAGAGUAUUUAAAAAGAUAAAAGUCAUCCUCCGUUCAAUGCAAUACUAAAAACAAAACACAUAACAGUAGAUCAAAACAAAAUUCGCCAAAAGCUAGCAGUUGAAUCCAGCGAUUAAAAUACAUCAAAACAAAAUUAUAACAUCAAAAUAUAAAACCACAGAUAUCAGAAGAAAUCAACUAUAUUUAGUCGACCUCCUCAAUCUUAGGGCCAGCACCGCCUGCAUGGGAAGGAGCAUCAUCAUCACCGGGAGCAGCACCCAUGUCAGGACCUGCACCACCUUGGUACAUCUUGGCAAUGAUAGGGUUGCAGACACCUUCAAGUUCCUUCAUCUUGUCCUCAAACUCAUCAGCCUCUGCAAGCUGGUUGGCAUCUAGCCACUGGAUAGCAGCCUCAAUGGUGUCCUCGAUCUUCUUUUUGUCAUCCGAAUCAAGCUUUCCUGCAAUUUUUUCAUCCUUAAUGGUGUUCCUCAUGUUGUAUGCAUAGUUUUCCAAUGCAUUCUUGGCCUCGACCUUCUUCUUAUGCUCUUCAUCUUCCGACUUGUACUUCUCUGCCUCUUGAACCAUCUUCUCAAUGUCUUCCUUUGAAAGUCUACCCUUGUCAUUGGUGAUGGUGAUUUUGUUCUUCUGGCCAGUUGUUUUGUCUUCUGCAGAGACAUUCAAGAUACCAUUGGCAUCAAUGUCAAAGCACACAGUGAUUUGGGGAACACCUCUGGGGGCAGGAGGAAUGCCGGAAAGUUCAAACUUGCCCAACAAAUUGUUGUCUCUUGUUCUUGUCCUCUCUCCUUCAAAAACUUGGAUCAACACGCCAGGCUGGUUGUCAGAAUAUGUAGAGAAAACCUGUUCUUUCUUUGUUGGAAUAGUGGUAUUCCUUGGGAUAAGCACAGUCAUCACACCACCAGCAGUCUCCAAACCAAGAGAUAGAGGGGUGACAUCCAAAAGGAGAAGAUCCUGAACCUUCUCAUUGCCCUCACCACUCAAGAUAGCAGCCUGAACAGCAGCACCAUAUGCAACAGCCUCAUCAGGAUUUAUGCUCUUGCAUAGCUCCUUUCCGUUAAAGAAAUCUUGCAAAAGUUGUUGAACCUUUGGAAUUCUGGUAGAACCUCCUACAAGGACAACAUCGUGGACACUUUUCUUGUCCAUCUUGGCAUCUCUCAAACAUUUCUCAACUGGCUCCAUACAUUUUCUAAAGAGAUCCAUGUUGAGCUCCUCAAAUCUUGCACGAGUAAUGGGGGAGUAGAAAUCAAUUCCUUCAAAAAGAGAAUCAAUUUCAAUGGUGGUCUGGGCAGUAGAAGAGAGAGUUCUCUUCGCUCUUUCACAAGCAGUCCUCAACCUCCUAAGAGCUCUGGGGUUGCCACUGAUGUCCUUCUUGUUCUUUCUCUUGAACUCUUGAACAAAGUGGUUCACCAUUCUGUUGUCAAAAUCCUCACCUCCAAGAUGGGUGUCUCCGGCUGUGGCUUUCACCUCAAAGAUACCCUCUUCAAUAGUUAGCAAAGAGACAUCAAAAGUACCACCACCAAGGUCAAAGAUCAAGACAUUCUUCUCUCCAACACUGGUUGCUUUCUUGUCAAGACCAUAAGCAAUGGCAGCAGCAGUGGGCUCAUUGAUAAUUCGCAUGACAUUAAGACCGGCAAUAACUCCAGCAUCCUUGGUAGCUUGACGCUGGGAGUCAUUAAAGUAAGCAGGGACAGUAACAACAGCAUUCUUAAUGGCAGAACCAAGGUACGCUUCGGCAAUCUCACGCAUCUUCAUUAGCACCAUGGAAGAGAUCUCUUCGGCAGCAAAUUCCUUAUCUUCACCUUUGUAGUUAACACCAAUAAGUGGCUUUUCAGCUGGCCCAGAAAUAAUCUUAAAAGGCCACAACUUCAUGUCACUCUGAACAGAGGCAUCACUGAAUCUACGACCAAUCAACCUCUUGGCAUCUGUGAAAUACAAAAUAUAUAUAACUGAGAGAAUACAAAAUAUUAUAGAAUGAUUGCAACUUAAAAAGAUAGGUAACAAACGAAAUUAAAAAGCAUGCAUCAUAGUAUCUUGAUGUGUAUCUCAUGUAUCACAUUACACAUCUAAAAAAUCUGGCACAAUAUGCAUUGUAAAGCAUAGUUCCAACAAUAUCAACAAAAAUAUACUAUACAGUAUUAUUGAAUCAUAGCAACUGAAAAAGAAGCAUCAUUGACAUUGAAUUUGAAAAUACACGUACCGAUUCAUGUUCCACAUUACAGAUCUAUUACUAGAUAAACAAUUCAAUUGCAGCUUAGGAUAACAAGGUAAACAAUAAAAUAAAAAAUCAUAAGUCUUGUAUUACCGACCUAUUGACAUAAUUCCAGCACAAUAAAAAAUAAAUCUACACGACUAUCAUGAUUAAUUGAAUCAUAGCAACACAAAAAUACUUAUUAUGAACAUGAAUUGAACAUUGAAUUUAAAAAUCCAUGUAUUACAGCAAGAUCUAUUGUGAAUAUAGAUUCAACCGUAUAAUUGAGAAACAGAACAAUAUCAUAAACUAGUAUUGAUUCAGAAAUAUGCAUCAUUAACACUAAAAUCAUAUACUCUAACUACGUGCAAGUUCAGUAUUAUGUAAAUAGAGACAAAUUCGAUAGAUCGAGAAAAGAGUAGGAAAACUAACCAAAAACGGUGUUGAUAGGGUUCAUGGCAACUUGAUUCUUAGCAGCAUCACCGAUGAGACGCUCGGAGUCGGUGAAAGCGACGUAAGACGGCGUGGUACGGUUACCUUGGUCGUUGGCGAUGAUUUCAACACGGUCAUGUUGCCAUACACCGACGCAUGAGUAUGUGGUUCCAAGAUCGAUUCCGAUCGCUGGUCCUUCUCCCUUUCCGGCCAUUGGUUUGUUGCGAAAAAGAGAGAAAAAUUUGAGUGGAAGAGAAUGUAGAUCACAG